RNAcentral lists this ribosomal RNA (519 nucleotides) under uncultured bacterium. RNAcentral describes it as "bacterial SSU rRNA". It matches the Rfam family "Bacterial small subunit ribosomal RNA", at positions 791 to 1314 of the family's 1533-position model. The record is from RNAcentral.
UAGUCCACGCUGUAAACGAUGAGAACUAGCUGUUGGGUAUUAAUAUUUAGUGGCGCAGUUAACGCGAUAAGUUCUCCGCCUGGGGAGUACGGCCGCAAGGUUAAAACUCAAAUGAAUUGACGGGGGCCCGCACAAGCGGUGGAGCAUGUGGUUUAAUUCGAUGCAACGCGAAGAACCUUACCUACCCUUGACAUCCUGCGAAUCCUGUAGAGAUACGGGAGUGCCUUCGGGAAUGCAGAGACAGGUGCUGCAUGGCUGUCGUCAGCUCGUGUUGUGAAAUGUUGGGUUAAGUCCCGUAACGAGCGCAACCCUACUCUUAGUUGCCAGCGGUUCGGCCGGGAACUCUAAGGGGACUGCCGGUGAUAAACCGGAGGAAGGUGGGGACGACGUCAAGUCAUCAUGGCCUUUAUGUCCAGGGCUACACACGUGCUACAAUGGGCGGUACAAAGGGUUGCGAUGCCGCGAGGUGGAGCCAAUCCCAAAAAGCCGUCCUCAGUUCGGAUUGCAGUCUGCAACUCG